RNAcentral lists this ribosomal RNA (488 nucleotides) under Moneuplotes crassus. RNAcentral's name for it is "partial Eukaryotic large subunit ribosomal RNA". It matches the Rfam family "Eukaryotic large subunit ribosomal RNA", at positions 934 to 1405 of the family's 3401-position model. The record is from RNAcentral. Lineage: Eukaryota; Ciliophora; Spirotrichea; Euplotida; Euplotidae.
AUCGAACCAUCUAGUAGCUGGUUCCCUCCGAAGUUUCCCUCAGGAUAGCUGGAGCUCGUACGGACUAGUUUUAUCAGGUAAAGCGAAUGAUUAGAGGCCUUGGGGCUGAAACAGCCUUAACCUAUUCUCAAACUUUAAAUGGGUAAGAUGCCCUUGUUGCUUGAAUUUUCAUGAACUUGCGGCGCGCGUCGAAUACCUGAGCUCCAAGUGGGCCAUUUUUGGUAAGCAGAACUGGCGAUGCGGGAUGAACCGAACGUGAGGUUAAGGUGCCGGAAUGCACGCUCAUUUAGAUCCCACAAAAGGUGUUGGUUGAUCCAGACAGCAGGACGGUGGCCAUGGAAGUCGGAACCCGCUAAGAAGUGUGUAACAACUUACCUGCCGAAUCAACUAGCCCUGAAAAUGGAUGGCGCUGAAGCGUGCUACCCAUACCUCACCGCCAUGUGGCAGGCGACGCCUUGGCGAGUAGGAGGGCGCGGAGGUCAGCGCGG